Non-coding RNA from Pseudopodoces humilis (Tibetan ground-tit), 6003 nucleotides. Lineage: Eukaryota; Metazoa; Chordata; Aves; Passeriformes; Paridae. The record is from RefSeq and is a predicted model, not a curated record.
CGGCGGCCGGUGCCGAGCUGGGGCCGCCCGCUGUGAGGGAGCGGGGGGGGACCCGGGGCAAGAUGCCCGCCCUGAGGGGACGGAGCCUUCGGGGCGGGCGGCCGUGAGGGCGCUCCCGUCCGAGGGAGUAACGACGGCCCCGCCGUCCCGUCGCGGACGGCGAUUUACCUGGGUGCCCACCUCCCUCCCUCUUUCCCUCCUUGUUUUCUUUCUUCCUUCCUUCCCGGAGCCGGUGGUUUCGGCGGAGAGGGAGGGGAGCCCGCCUGGCCCCUCCCCGGAGAAACUUUCCUCCGCCACCCGCGCCAGGGCGACCCUUGGGCAGCGUUGGUCGCAAACUUCUUCUGGGGGAGAGAGGACCCAGGCUUCGCGCAGGGCUGUGUGAGCGGGCGAGUGCCGAGGUGAGAGCAUGGGAUACGUGCUUUUAUUUUCCGGAAGGCUUUUCCUCCCAAGUGCGACGCCUGACGGAGUGCCAGGUAUUCCUGCGUAGGGCUGUCACCCGCGUGACCCUCUGCAUGUGCGCUCAGUUUGGGUUCGGACUUCUGUUUUAACAGUGGAAAGCUGAAUGCUGCUGAAAGCUGAAGAAACUAAGUCUAGAUUCUUGACCAAAUGGAAGAGCUGCCAGAGCCAAUUUUUCCUUGCUGACCUGUUGACAUUGCUUUAAUUGCAGAUAUCUGUGGAUAUGAAAGCUCAGGACACAGUAUCAAUCUCAUAAUGAUGCUUGAACAUCUGUAGCUCACUGGAGGAUUUAAAAAAGAAAUUCAGCAUGACCUAGUUGGCUUGACCUGUGGAAAUUUUAUAAUGUCCUCUGGAACACGUAUCAGCAGAAAUAGGCAGGCUCCCAGCCUGCAGGGUGUUGACCCAGAAACAUGUAUGAUAGUGUUUAGAACACACUGGGCACAGGUUCUGAAAAUCUUAGAGAAGCAUGAUCCUUUGAAAAAUACUCAGGCAAAGUAUGGAGCAAUCUCACCUGAUGAGGCCAGCACUGUCCAGAAUUAUGUGGAGCACAUGCUUUUCUUAUUAAUUGAGGAGCAAGCAAAAGAUGCCUCGAUGGGACCUAUUCUGGAGUUUGUGGUCUCAGAAAACAUCAUGGAGAAGCUUUUCCUUUGGAGCCUACGACGAGAGUUCACUGAUGAAACAAAAAUUGAGCAACUCAAAAUGUAUGAAAUGCUCGUAACCCAGUCUCAUCAGCCUUUGCUGCAUCACAAGCCCAUUUUGAAGCCUUUGAUGAUGUUGUUGAGUUCCUGCUCAGGAACAACCACUCCAACAGUGGAAACAGAGUUGGUUGUCCUCUUGAACCAGCUCUGCUCUAUAAUAGCCAAAGAUCCCUCCAUUUUAGAACUGUUUUUCCACACUAGUGAGGACCAAGGAGCUGCCAAUUUCCUCAUUUUUUCCCUGCUCAUCCCCUUCAUCCAUCGAGAAGGAACAGUAGGCCAACAGGCCCGGGAUGCACUGCUUUUCAUAAUGUCUUUGUCUGCAGAAAACAACCUUGUUGCAAACCACAUAGCAGAAAACACCUAUUUUUGCCCAGUGCUAGCAACAGGACUGAGUGGCCUCUAUUCCUCUUUGCCUACAAAGCUGGAAGAAAAAGGAGAAGAAUGGCACUGUCUGAUGAAAGAUGACUGGCUUUUGUCACCAGCCCUUGUACAAUUCAUGAAUUCCCUUGAAUUUUGCAAUGCUGUGAUACAGGUGGCACAUCCCUUAAUACGCAGCCAGCUUGUGAAUUACAUUUACAAUGGAUUUUUGGUGCCAGUAAUGGCUCCUGCACUCCAUAAGGUGACUGUGGAGGAAGUGAUGACUACAACUGCAUACCUGGAUCUCUUCUUGCGCAGCGUUUCAGAGCCAGCCCUCCUCAAGAUUUUCCUCCGCUUUAUUUUGCUGCACCGACAUGAGAAUGUUCAUAUCCUGGAUACACUUACCAGCAGAAUCAACACACCAUUCCGGCUCUGUGUUGUCUCCUUGGCGUUGUUCAGAACACUCAUUGGCUUGCAUUGUGAAGAUGUGAUGUUGCAGCUAGUUUUAAGGUAUCUGAUCCCCUGCAACCACAUGAUGCUGAGCCAGCGGCGUGCUGUGAAAGAGAGAGACUGUUACUCUGUAUCUGCUGCAAAACUGCUGGCCCUGACACCCCUCUGCUGCUCCACUGGAAUCACUUUGACACUUGAAAGCCAAGGGAAAGACUAUAUUCUCUGGACAAAAACAGCACAAUCUAAAGAUCCUGGUAGAUGCUCUUCUGAAUCUGCUUGCAUUGUGGAAUAUGGAAGGGCUGUGGACAUCAGCUACUUGCAGUACCUGGCAGAAGCUCAAGAAGCCAUCAUCCAGUGCAUGAAAGAUUGUAAGGUUUGGUCUGCCUUGUAUGAUGGAGUAAAUCCUGAUCCAGACACCUUUAUCCAGACGCUUGCAGAGGAGAACAGUACAGAUGUGGAACACCCCAUGUUUCGGCUCCAGCAAAGGACACCUAGCUCAUGUAGUUCUGCUCAAGCAACUCCUUUCAGUGAGAAGAUACAGCUAGAGCUAGAAUGGGAUGAUAGCUAUGACACAGGGAUUUCUCCUGGUUCUAAUGUGAGCUCACCACAAUCGUAUGAUGAUCUGGGAAGCACAGAAAUGCAGCCACCUGCAGAGCCACCGAAACACAUUCAAGAAAUGAAAAAAAAUGCCAUUAUGCUCAUCAAAGGCUCUUACAUAGAAGAGUCAGACUUUCAGGAUGAUGUUAUGGUUUACAGGUUAUGUGCCCAGAAGGAUACUCAAGAUGAUGACAGCUCUAAGGAGAAAGCUUUAAAUGUAGCCAGAGAACACAAGGUGCAGAGCCAGACCAUAGUCAAUGGGUCUCUUGCAAAGACUCAGCUGGAAAUGGACUUGGAUGAGCACAGUAAGAGAAAUUCAAGCUCAGCUAAAGGUGUAAUGAGAGAACAAAUAAACCAGAAAAUGACUGAGAUUGAUCCACAGCCAGACUUAGAGUUAAAGAUUUCUUCUCAGGAGGCAGAUUGUAACUUAAGUGUAAAACUGCUGAGCACAGAUGGUGAGGAUUUCAUUGCACAGUAUGACAGAAUUAUUAAGGAACUGGAUCCAAACAGUGCGAGCUUGGAGGAGCAGAAGUUGGAUGUUCCUGAUCCUGUCUCUCCAGCAGAAGAAGAGGAGGACUUUGAGAAUUUCGCAGCAGAUACCCCUUCUGCAGAGAGCAUAUCAUCUCCCUUUGGACCAAAAGAGGAUGUCUCUCCCAAGCUCUCUCCCAAGCACUCUCCAAGGAGCCAGAGUGCUCCAUUUACAGGACCAUUCAUCAGCGUAGUGUUGUCGAAGCUGGAGAACAUGCUGGAGAAUUCCUUGCAUGUAAAUUUGCUGCUUAUUGGGAUUAUUACUCAGCUGGCAAGUUAUCCACAGCCGCUUCUUCGCUCCUUUCUGCUCAACACCAACAUGGUGUUUCAGCCUAGUGUGCGCUCACUCUAUCAGGUGCUGGCAUCUGUGAAAAAUAAGAUUGAACAUUUUGCUUCCAUUGAAAAAGACUUCCCAGGUCUUCUCCUGGAGGCCCAACAGUACCUGCUUUUUCGUGUGGACAUGUCUGAUGCUGCGGAAGAAUUGCUCACCAAAGGUAAUGUCCAGCACAGCAGCAACACAGGGAAAGGAAGGAAUCUCCCGGAAGCUUACCCGGCUGUACUGCAGCCCUUCCUGGCACAGAAAGGAAAGAAAGGCCUGGCUCAUCCCAGCGUUCCUGCGCACGUGAGGAACGCCGUACUUGCAGCUGCCCUUUUCCCAGAGUUCCUGAAGGAGCUGGCAGCUCUAGCCCAGGAGCAUUCCAUUUUAUGUUACAAAAUACUGGGGGAUUUUGAAGAUUAUUAUUAAUGGGUUUUUUAAAUGUGUUUUGAAAAAGCUUUUGGAGUUUAAACAGAUUUUUAAUGCAAAGCUGCUUUCAAAAGAAGGUUGUACUUCAAUAUUUCCUGAAAAUACUUGAUUUGGAGGGGGAAAAAGGAGGCAAAAUAUUAUUCCAGUUAGGCCUUAUAAUUUCCCUCAGUGCUACAUAACUUAUUUGAGAUUUCUGAUACUGCUCAUACUGCAGCUUCCUUCUUCAUGCCUUCCUCUUUACAGAGCCACCCUUCUUCAGUGUCACUAAUUCCUGUUGAAUUUCUGCAAUAGACACUUGUUGGCUGGCUGAGAGACACAAACACGUUGGCUUUUUCUGUUCCAGAAAUACUCUUCUGGGUAACUUGUUAGGAGACAAGUUUGCUUGAAGAAACAUUGCCCCAUGGGAAAAGUUCACAGUAUAAAAAGAUAUGCAGAAUCUGCAGAAUACCCUUUUAUGUGAAGGACUGUCGUUCUCGAUGUCAUUGUCCUCUUUGCCUCUUCCUUUGCUUCACCCUGAAGCCAGGUUCUUACCAAUCCACAUCCAAAACCCCUUUUUUAAAUAUUGGCUCAGGUUUUCUGAAUUCAAGUGAUCUUAUGUGUAGUAAACCCAUGAGUAGCUGAAAGCAGGUGCUGGGCCCUACAAAUACCAUAUUGCCUUAUGUCGAAGACAGAUCUGCAGCUAUCAGCUGUUGGGCUUUGAAGUCCAAUGAAGUGUGUAAGUGGAUGUGGAUUGCAGACUGCCUGGAAUUUUCCUUGCGGUUCCUCAACAUUCCUUGAUAACUCUUGCAUUGCUACCUAAGCCUGCAAGCAUGCCUUAUUUAGUAAGAUUUGCACAAAGUACAAAACAAAAUGUUUCUAUGCAAGCUGUUAUUAGAGUCUAGUUUAUUUGUAUGCUUGUUUUAAUAAGCUAAAGAAAGAUACUCAGUAUCUUUCUGUAGUGUUAAAUGGACAGCAGGCUGUUUUUGUCUUUUUGUCUGUUUUUUUUAAUUAAAUGAAAAAUGUUUGCUUGCUUAUGAAAGGUGUACUGUUUUAUUGUUAAUUUAUUUUGGUUAAAGGAAAAUUAAGUUACUCUUUGUUUACUUUUAGUUUAGGUGUUGACUUUUCCUAAUAUUGCACUUCUGGGAUGGUGAGGGGAGGACCAGGCUAUUCACCAUCUGCAGAAAAGGAAGGAGUAAUGGGGAAAUCUGUCUGCUGGUGACUAACUGCUUGAGAAAAUUCUCUUCUGUCUGUUAAGCUACACGAGGAUUUCAAAAUGUGGACUGCUCAUAAAAGCAUCUGUAAAUUUGAGGAAGGAGAGGAUUUUCCUCAUAAGUUUUGGUACAGCUUAUGUUCUACAUCCAGUAGGAUAAAGUCAGCCUUUGAAAUCUGGAGUUGUGUGGAAGGCUUCUUGCUGAAAGGUCAGAGCUGUGUUUGUGCUCAGUGUCCUCUCACAAACAGGAAAUGUCCAUCAGCUCCCCAAAAGGAAGAGGUGGAUGAGUGCAGUGACCCUGGCUUAGAAUGUAAAAAUGCAGAUCAUACAUGUACCUUUACACUGCUUGGUUUCUGAGUGGGAUCAGAUUUGCAGCUGUGUCUCAGAUGUAAUAGCAGUAUAAUGUCUGGCAGCCAGCACAAAAAACUAUUGAUGGGAAUUGCCUCUUCCUGCCUUCAAAAUGCAGAACCUGUGAUUUAGCUUGAAAAUGUUGAUCUUUUCAGAUGAAUCACAUCUGUGUGCAUAAGCUCUUCAGCCAAAUGCUUCUCUAAUAAGCUACUUCCCUCUAGUUAGAUAAUGUGUUAUCCUGUCUCUCACCAAUGACACAUCCUUUCCCAAAAAAACCCUGUGCCUGUGGUCCUAGCUGUGGUCCUGCCUAUAGGUCCCUGGAGGAUAACAGCUUUAUGCUGCUCUUACCAAGAUCAAGGAAGUGCUUUUUGAUCUGGUUUUCCCCACACAUUGGGUGGGUGUGUGACUGGAGCAGUCCUUCAUUGGUACAUUGGCUCAGCAUCAGUCCCAAAUGAAGUGCCUUGGCAGAUCUCUCCCAAAGACUGCAGGUGGUGGCUCAGUGAUACCAAAGUGAAUUUCCAGCCUCCUACUAGAUGUUUCAAACUGUGAAUGCCACAUUUCCAAUUAUGUAGCCUUGGAGUGUGUUUAUAAGCUGUUCUGCUAUAGCAAGGAAUCUUUCCAGCAUUUUAAACUUG